AGAGCGAACGCUGGCGGCAUGCUUAACACAUGCAAGUCUCACGGGCAGCAAUGUCAGUGGCGGACGGGUGAGUAACGCGUAGGUAUCUAUCCUUGGGUGGGGGAUAACGUUGGGAAACUGACGCUAAUACCGCAUGACACCUGUGGGUCAAAGGCGCGAGUCGCCUGGGGAGGAGCCUGCGUACGAUUAGCUUGUUGGUGGGGUAAAGGCCUACCAAGGCUACGAUCGUUAGCUGGUCUGAGAGGAUGAUCAGCCACACUGGGACUGAGACACGGCCCAGACUCCUACGGGAGGCAGCAGUGGGGAAUAUUGGACAAUGGGCGAAAGCCUGAUCCAGCAAUGCCGCGUGUGUGAAGAAGGUCUUCGGAUUGUAAAGCACGUUUCGGCGGGGACGAUGAUGACGGUACCCGCAGAAGAAGCCCGGCUAACUUCGCGCCAGCAGCCGC
This 446-nucleotide ribosomal RNA is filed under the name uncultured bacterium. Its description in RNAcentral is "SSU rRNA". It matches the Rfam family "Bacterial small subunit ribosomal RNA", at positions 26 to 518 of the family's 1533-position model. The record is from RNAcentral.